Micropterus salmoides (largemouth bass) is the source of this 2424-nucleotide long non-coding RNA. RefSeq lists it as uncharacterized. Lineage: Eukaryota; Metazoa; Chordata; Actinopteri; Centrarchiformes; Centrarchidae. The transcript is spliced from 3 exons. The record is from RefSeq and is a predicted model, not a curated record.
AAUAACAGUAAGAGGUGCAAAAAACGGAGAUUCGGUCGCUCAGCAACGUAAGUUAUCGGAAGCUAACUUCAGCAUCGUGAAAAGUCCGCAGCUGCGUUUGUUUGUAAUGGUGUGGGUCUUUCAGUGUGACGUCACUCGUUUCGUGGAGCUACAACACUUUCGUUUUCAUUUAUCAGGAAGAAGCAGCGUUUAAAGUAAAGCCAGGAGAAGGUGAGACAAAUGGGUCAUGAAUUCAUAUUCAGGCAGUGACGCAGAGGAGCUGCAUUAGACAAGUCUGCAAACUGAAGCUGAACAUUGAAAAUUCUUUGUGUUUUUAAGUAUUAAGUACCACAAUUGUGUUUUUUAAUUUAAAUAUCCUGUCUUCAUGGUUAUAGUGUACUGAAGGGAAUGAAAACCAGCAGUGUGUGUGCUCACAUGUUCAAUAACACAUAUCACUUCAAACUGUUGUAGAGUGUGUAACCAUUUGCAGAGUAAUUUUUUCCAUUUCCAAGACAUAAGCACUUUUUAGAAACUAAAAAUCAGUGCUUAGAAAAUGCAGGUUGAGUUCCAGCAGGCCUGUAUGAUUUUCUGUGUAGGGGAAAGUAAAAGAAUGAAAAUGAAGGACAGACUAUGCCAGUUCCAAAUAACCACAGCCUGUUGCUCUCUGCUGUAUUGAGGAUGACCACUUAUUAUUAUACAGCACAGAAUGUUGUUAACAGUAUGUAUAAUUAAUUCCAUUAAAGCAAUGUUAGUUUAGUUAAAACACAACAUUUACAUAUUUAUACAACACAUAUAUAGUAUAUUACCCCCAAUAUAGUAUAGAGAACAUGAAAGCAAUAUUAUAACUAAGGAGCUAACUUCAACAUCACUGCAAUUUAAGUAUAAAUAAGUAAUCAUUUGCUUUUUCUCUGUUUUGAGACUGUGCCAGUGGAGUCAUUCACUUUGUAUUUCUAUUCUUACAAUUCUAGAACAAGUUAUUUUUAAACCAGACAUUUUACUAAGCUGAAUGGCAUGGAGGAGUUUCUGCUAUCUUGUUAGUAAUACACUGGCAUUUACUGUAGCAUGUUUUCUGGCUCUGAUGACUUUAUCACAAGACGAAGAUGAAGUUUAAGUCGCUCUCUCAGUCAGGUGGUCAGAAGGUGCUCAACCACAGAAAUGUAAAGUAGAAUUAGAGAAGGUUCUUCAGACUUGGUCCAACAAUUUAAAGGAGAAUGCUACAUUUCAAAUGUAUCAGAAGAUGGGAGAGCUGUGAUAACGCUUAAACCUGCUGCAGCCCUGAGUAAGCUUCAGAAAUUGAGUGGACAAACACUGACCAGGUGAGAUGGGAGAACCAUCACAAUAAUGUCUGUUAGUGUGACACCACCAGAGCUGAAGACACAAAUACCAGAGGAAGCUUCAAUGGACCUUCCUGCUUCAUGCGUUUCAGAGCCACAAGAUCUGCGAGUGAAGUAGGUGGAACAAAGUAGUUUCAGCAGUGCAGGAGCAGUUUCUACAGCAGUAGAGGAGACAUUUCCUUGUUCUGUCCCAGUGCGCCAUUACUGGUAUGUGAACCACAUCUACAAGGAGGAAAUUCAACAUAUCGAGAAAGAGAAUGGAGUUCAAAUGGAGGCAGAAGUGGAUGUGACCUGAGAACAAGCUCAUGCUUACCCUGUCCUCUGAAGAAAUGACCGUAUGUGGGCCAAGACAAAAACAAGAUGCUAUCAGUAAGUACUUAAAUGCAUAACAGAAAACUUCAACACUUCACUGAACAUAGGCGGGAGCAUCAAAGACCCUCUCGUUGUUGCUGGACUAACCAUGGAGGAGGGCUACUUGAGGUUGAUGACUACUUCCUACGAUGAGCACGUAGCCAUCAAAGCUAAGUUUGGUGUGGACUUGAAGGAAUCAGUCAAGGCAAAGUCAAAGCUUGCUACAAAAGAUCUGUGUCAAUGGAGAGCCACGCUGUCAGAGCUCUCCUUCAUCUGUACCAGAAGACUGCCACAUCACCUCUGAGCUUCACUCAACACUGUGGUGCCACUGAAAUUCACUUAAGAAUUUUCAUAUCCUGAUAGUAUUUACAACAUGUAUUUACAGGAAUGCACAUAUGGCUGUAUGCUCUCUGUUCUUGUUAUUUUUCAUAUCAGUAGGGGUAUUGAGGUGCACCCGACAGCAUUAACAGCUUUAGACUUUAUGGUUUAGUAACAUGUAUUAUCCUCACCAAUAAAGUUUUCAGUAUAAGACUUAAAUCUGCAUAUAUCAGUGUAACUGUAUUUAAUGUCUACAGUACACAUGGUCUGAUUUACUGUUUUCUGUUUUUCUUUUAAUGCUGAAGUAUUUUUAAAAGCAGGUUCUUUUGUUCUUUUACUCAAAUACAGGAUUUUUGUACUUCAUCCACCACUGACCUAAGCUUUUAUGUAUACAGCACACAUGGUCUGAUUUACUACCUAAUAAAUUAUUAAUCAACCUACA